RNAcentral lists this ribosomal RNA (431 nucleotides) under uncultured bacterium. Its description in RNAcentral is "partial 16S ribosomal RNA". It matches the Rfam family "Bacterial small subunit ribosomal RNA", at positions 29 to 505 of the family's 1533-position model. The record is from RNAcentral.
AACGAACGCUGGCGGCAUGCCUAAUACAUGCAAGUCGAACGAGAUCUUCGGAUCUAGUGGCGCACGGGUGCGUAACGCGUGGGAAUCUGCCCUUGGGUUCGGAAUAACUUCUGGAAACGGAAGCUAAUACCGGAUGAUGACGUAAGUCCAAAGAUUUAUCGCCCAAGGAUGAGCCCGCGUAGGAUUAGCUAGUUGGUGGGGUAAAGGCCCACCAAGGCGACGAUCCUUAGCUGGUCUGAGAGGAUGAUCAGCCACACUGGGACUGAGACACGGCCCAGACUCCUACGGGAGGCAGCAGUAGGGAAUAUUGGACAAGGGGCGAAAGCCUGAUCCAGCAAUGCCGCGUGAGUGAUGAAGGCCUUAGGGUUGUAAAGCUCUUUUACACGCGAUGAUAAUGACAGUACCGGGAGAAUAAGCUCCGGCUAAAUCCG